This 630-nucleotide ribosomal RNA is filed under the name uncultured bacterium. RNAcentral describes it as "bacterial SSU rRNA". It matches the Rfam family "Bacterial small subunit ribosomal RNA", at positions 153 to 796 of the family's 1533-position model. The record is from RNAcentral.
GAAACGGUGACUAAUACCGCAUAAUAUUCUUGGAAGGCAUCUUCCGAGAAGGAAAGGAAAUAUUCGGUAAAAGAUGGGCCCGCAUCUGAUUAGCUAGUUGGUGAGAUAACAGCCCACCAAGGCGACGAUCAGUAGCCGACCUGAGAGGGUGACCGGCCACAUUGGGACUGAGACACGGCCCAAACUCCUACGGGAGGCAGCAGUGGGGAAUAUUGCACAAUGGGGGGAACCCUGAUGCAGCAACGCCGCGUGAAGGAAGACGGUUUUCGGAUUGUAAACUUCUAUCAGUAGGGAAGAAAGAAAUGACGGUACCUAAAUAAGAAGCCCCGGCUAACUACGUGCCAGCAGCCGCGGUAAUACGUAGGGGGCAAGCGUUAUCCGGAAUUACUGGGUGUAAAGGGAGAGUAGGCGGCAAGGUAAGCGAUAUGUGAAAGCCUUAGGCUUAACCUGAGGAUUGCAUAACGAACUAUCUAGCUAGAGUACAGGAGAGGAAAGCGGAAUUCCUAGUGUAGCGGUGAAAUGCGUAGAUAUUAGGAAGAACACCAGUGGCGAAGGCGGCUUUCUGGACUGAAACUGACGCUGAGGCUCGAAAGCGUGGGGAGCGAACAGGAUUAGAUACCCUGGUAGUCC